GUCAGGAGUGGUGGUGCAUGCCUGUAAUCCUAGCAACUCAGGAAACUGAGGCAGGAGAAUCACAAGUUCUAGGACAGCUUUAGUAAUUUAGCAAGGCAGUAAGCAACUUAGUAAGACCCUGUCUCAA
This 127-nucleotide small RNA is filed under the name Marmota monax (woodchuck). Lineage: Eukaryota; Metazoa; Chordata; Mammalia; Rodentia; Sciuridae. The record is from RNAcentral.